This 263-nucleotide long non-coding RNA is filed under the name Apteryx rowi (Okarito brown kiwi). Its description in RNAcentral is "lncRNA (ENSARWG00000002244.1)". Lineage: Eukaryota; Metazoa; Chordata; Aves; Apterygiformes; Apterygidae. The record is from RNAcentral.
UGUUAUUUACUUGAUCGAGGUAUAAACAGCAAAAAAAUUCUGGCAUUGUUGAGUAAAUCUGUCUUUAAGGCUUCCAAGGAAGAAGUAAUCUCUUCUCAAGAUCAUGUUCCUUUUGAACUUAAAAAYGAAAGACAUGAAAUGGACCCUUCAGAGUCAAGUCUAGGAUUUGUGCCUAUUACUAGUGAAAGUAAACUUAUAGCAGUCAAAGGACCAGUACCAUGCCAGAUUUCUCUAAAUUGUGAGAAGGCUACAUUACCUGCUGC